This 301-nucleotide ribosomal RNA is filed under the name uncultured bacterium. RNAcentral describes it as "partial 16S ribosomal RNA". It matches the Rfam family "Bacterial small subunit ribosomal RNA", at positions 509 to 807 of the family's 1533-position model. The record is from RNAcentral.
CAGCCGCCACGGUAAUACAGAGGGUGCGAGCGUUAAUCGGAUUUACUGGGCGUAAAGCGUGCGUAGGCGGCUUCUUAAGUCGGAUGUGAAAUCCCUGAGCUUAACUUAGGAAUUGCAUUCGAUACUGGGAAGCUAGAGUAUGGGAGAGGAUGGUAGAAUUCCAGGUGUAGCGGUGAAAUGCGUAGAGAUCUGGAGGAAUACCGAUGGCGAAGGCAGCCAUAUGGCCUAAUACUGACGCUGAGGUACGAAAGCAUGGGGAGCAAACAGGAUUAGAUACCCGCGUAGUCCCUGUCUCUUAUAC